This is a long non-coding RNA of Magnolia sinica, 489 nucleotides long. RefSeq lists it as uncharacterized. NCBI's taxonomy places the organism in Eukaryota, Viridiplantae, Streptophyta, Magnoliopsida, Magnoliales, Magnoliaceae. The record is from RefSeq and is a predicted model, not a curated record. The transcript has 2 exons.
GAUCAUCUUGGUCUCUCUUAUUUUCUCUGUCCAUGCAGUCAUUUCCAAAAUCCAUAUGUUUUCUAUAAGACCCUGAGCAAAUUCUUCAAUAAGUUGGAGCUGUUGGAAUAGUAUGCAAUAUUGAAGGUAUUACUGUAGGUGGGCCUGAAAUGUGGACACCACACAUUGUAUCCUGCUCGUCUCCACUAUGAAUGCAUGUGGUAAUCAUUUUAAACUUACAACUUCAUGGACCACACCAGUGGUAGGUGAUCCUAACUGUUCGUUCGGUGGCCUGCAAUUGAAUGAUCUGAACCUAACAAGCUUCCUCUUUAUUUUUUUUCUGUUUUUUCGAACCGCCAUGUUCGGGCACGAAUCCAAUGUUUAGCCUCCGGUUGAUUCAAUAUGUACAUUGUAGCCCAUUUAUUUGUACAUUGGAUGGAUGGUCUGGAUCAUGUCAACUUAUGUGGUGUGAUGGUGUUCAAUAUUUAUUCAGCUCCAAUGUUUACUUUA